This 540-nucleotide ribosomal RNA is filed under the name uncultured fungus. RNAcentral describes it as "eukaryotic LSU rRNA". The stretch from base 188 to 341 matches the Rfam family "5.8S ribosomal RNA". The record is from RNAcentral. Lineage: Eukaryota; Fungi.
UCUCCGUAGGUGAACCUGCGGAGGGAUCAUUACAAGAACGCCCGGGCUUCGGCCUGGUUAUUCAUAUCCCUUUGUUGUCCGACUCUGUUGCCUCCGGGGCGACCCUGCCUUCGGGCGGGGGCUCCGGGUGGACACUUCAAACUCUUGCGUAACUUUGCAGUCUGAGUAAACUUAAUUAAUAAAUUAAAACUUUUAACAACGGAUCUCUUGGUUCUGGCAUCGAUGAAGAACGCAGCGAAAUGCGAUAAGUAAUGUGAAUUGCAGAAUUCAGUGAAUCAUCGAAUCUUUGAACGCACAUUGCGCCCCCUGGUAUUCCGGGGGGCAUGCCUGUUCGAGCGUCAUUUCACCACUCAAGCCUCGCUUGGUAUUGGGCAACGCGGUCCGCCGCGUGCCUCAAAUCGUCCGGCUGGGUCUUCUGUCCCCUAAGCGUUGUGGAAACUAUUCGCUAAAGGGUGUUCGGGAGGCUACGCCGUAAAACAACCCCAUUUCUAAGGUUGACCUCGGAUCAGGUAGGGAUACCCGCUGAACUUAAGCAUAUCA